AGAGUUUGAUCCUGGCUCAGAUUGAACGCUGGCGGCAGGCCUAACACAUGCAAGUCGAGCGGAUGACGGGAGCUUGCUCCUUGAUUCAGCGGCGGACGGGUGAGUAAUGCCUAGGAAUCUGCCUGGUAGUGGGGGACAACGUUUCGAAAGGAACGCUAAUACCGCAUACGUCCUACGGGAGAAAGCAGGGGACCUUCGGGCCUUGCGCUAUCAGAUGAGCCUAGGUCGGAUUAGCUAGUAGGUGAGGUAAUGGCUCACCUAGGCGACGAUCCGUAACUGGUCUGAGAGGAUGAUCAGUCACACUGGAACUGAGACACGGUCCAGACUCCUACGGGAGGCAGCAGUGGGGAAUAUUGGACAAUGGGCGAAAGCCUGAUCCAGCCAUGCCGCGUGUGUGAAGAAGGUCUUCGGAUUGUAAAGCACUUUAAGUUGGGAGGAAGGGCAGUAAGCUAAUACCCUUGCUGUUUUGACGUUACCGACAGAAUAAGCACCGGCUAACUCUGUGCCAGCAGCCGCGGUAAUACAGAGGGUGCAAGCGUUAAUCGGAAUUACUGGGCGUAAAGCGCGCGUACGUGGUUCGUUAAGCUGGAUGUGAAAAGCCCCGGGCUCAANCUGGGAACUGCNUCCNAAACUGGCGANGCUAGAGUAUUGGUAA
RNAcentral lists this ribosomal RNA (655 nucleotides) under Pseudomonas sp. P312. Its description in RNAcentral is "bacterial SSU rRNA". It matches the Rfam family "Bacterial small subunit ribosomal RNA", at positions 8 to 655 of the family's 1533-position model. The record is from RNAcentral. Lineage: Bacteria; Pseudomonadati; Pseudomonadota; Gammaproteobacteria; Pseudomonadales; Pseudomonadaceae.